CCUACGGGAGGCAGCAGUGGGGAAUAUUGGACAAUGGGCGAAAGCCUGAUCCAGCAAUGCCGCGUGAGUGAUGAAGGCCUUAGGGUUGUAAAGCUCUUUUACCAGGGAUGAUAAUGACAGUACCUGGAGAAUAAGCUCCGGCUAACUCCGUGCCAGCAGCCGCGGUAAUACGGAGGGAGCUAGCGUUGUUCGGAAUUACUGGGCGUAAAGCGUACGUAGGCGGUUAUUCAAGUCAGAGGUGAAAGCCUGGAGCUCAACUCCAGAACUGCCUUUGAAACUAGGUAGCUAGAAUCACGGAGAGGUUAGUGGAAUUCCGAGUGUAGAGGUGAAAUUCGUAGAUAUUCGGAAGAACACCAGUGGCGAAGGCGACUAACUGGACGUGUAUUGACGCUGAGGUACGAAAGCGUGGGGAGCAAACAGGAUUAGAUACCCUGGUAGUCCACGCCGUAAACGAUGAUAACUAGCUGUUCGGUCUCUACGAGACUGAGUGGCGCAGCUACGACAUAAGUUAUCCGUCCGUCGGGAGGUACGGUCGGCGAAGAAGUUAAACGUAACGAAAGGUAAAGUUAGUACGGUUCGUUGUAGAGUUGCCGAACGGACGACGACGAGGGAGGAGG
Molecule: ribosomal RNA, 617 nt
Filed under: uncultured bacterium
Lineage: Bacteria
Description: bacterial SSU rRNA
Rfam family: Bacterial small subunit ribosomal RNA (bases 1-517)
Source: RNAcentral